GCCAGAUAAGGGAAGCAGGCCUCCGAAGCCAGCAGUGGCAACCCACUUGGGUCCCUUUCAAUGCUGUGGAAGCGUUGUUCUUUCACUCUUCUCAAUAAAUCUUGCUGCUGCUCACUCUUUGGGUCUGCCCCGCUGUUAUGAGCUGUAACACUCACAGCCAGUGUCUGCAGUUUCACUCCUGAAGCCAGCAAGACCACAAACCCACAGGGCGGGACAAACAACUCCGGACAGGAGGAAUGAACAACUCUGGACGCGCCACUUCUAUGAACUUUUAUGAACUGUAACACUCACCGCAAAGGUCUGCAGCUUCACCCCUGAGGCCAGGGAGACCACGAACCCACCGGAAGGAAUGAACAACUCCAGACGCACUGCCUUUAAGAGCUGUAACACUUACCACGGAUGUCUGCAGCUUCACUCCUGAAGUCAGCGAGACCACAAACCCAACAGAAGGAAGAAACUCCCGACACAUCUGAACAUCUGAAGGAACAAACUCUGGACACACCAUCUUUAAGAACUGUAACACUCACCGUGAGGGUCAACCGCUUCAUUCUUGAAGUCAGCCAGACCAAGAACCCACCAAUUCCGGCUCAUAGGCAGAAGGGACUUUCCUUGUCUCAGAUGAGAAUUUGGACUGUGGACUUCUGCUGAAAGUCAUUUAAUGCUGAAUCUAUCUGAAUCAUGUUAUUGGACCAUGAGAGCAAGCAGCUGGAUCUCAUUCUGUCCAGGCUGAAGUGGAGUGUCAUGAUCUUGGCUCAUUGCAGCCUCCUCCUCCCAAGUUCAAGCAAUUCUCCUGCCUCAGCCUCCCGAGUAGUUGGAAUUACAGGGUUUCAUCAUUUUUGGCCAUGCUGGCCUUGAACGCCUAACCUCAAAUGAUCCACCUGCCUUGGCCUCCUGAAGUUCUGGGAGUUAUAGGCAUGAGUCACCAUGCCUGGCACCACAUAAAAUUAUUUUGUCAUUAACAUUACAUUUUAAAAUACAAACGCUGUUUUCCAUAUUACUCAGGUCAGAUCUUUUACCCCACUUCUCUCAGUGAGAUUGCAUUAUUUAUUUCCAUCUCUAUAAUCUACUGUUCAUCCAUCUAUCUAUCCAUCCCUCAAUUUAGUUUUUUCACUACAUUCUGCAUUUGAUUCUUUUGAGGGUGUAUGCUUGUGUUUGUGCGUGGAAGUGGGGGUGUGUGUGUGUGUGUGUGUUCAAAAAGGUCUACAGUUUCCUUUUUCUGUAAUAUCUGUGUCUGCUGUUGGUAUUAGGGUAAUGCUGAACUCAUAGAGUAUGUGAAAAGUUUUCUACAUUCUUUGAUUUUUCUGAAAGAAAUUGUGCAGAAUUCAUAUUAUUUCUUUCUUAAAUGCUCAAGUGUUUAUUAAAAUUUACCAGUAAAA
RNAcentral lists this long non-coding RNA (1376 nucleotides) under Homo sapiens (human). Its description in RNAcentral is "long independently transcribed non-coding RNA 2377, transcript variant 12 (LINC02377)". Lineage: Eukaryota; Metazoa; Chordata; Mammalia; Primates; Hominidae. The record is from RNAcentral.